UGCUUUACAAAAUUUAUUUUAGAGGCCUUGUACACACACUACACAUUACCACACACACAACACACACUUGCGCACAGAAACACUUGAAAUGAUAAGAUUAUCAUAGUAACACAUUCGGAUGAAAAGAUCCAGCAAGGCGCAACAUGGACUAAUAUUCGACUGAUAACUAAUUUUCUGCGUUACCGAUACUCGCAGGUUAACCUCGAAAUUAUUGUUAUAAUUGUAGAGAAUGUAUCUUCUGUUAUCAGUUGCUGCAAUACGGACUGAAUUUCUAUUGAUAUUUUGGCUGCUGUUUCUAAAUCUCAUCUCUUUUGGAAUAAUCAUAGUAAAUCUCCAGUUAAUGGAAGAAGAAAAGAAUAAUGCUCAACAAAUAUACGUGUUCUAUGAUCGUACAGAAGAGUAACUAAUGGUCUCCGCAUGAUCCUUGUCUUUCAAAGAAUUAAAUACAAGUUCUUAGAACCAAGCAUUAAACAUGAAAACAGAUAAAGUAGUUGCCCUUUCAUCACAUAAGGUCACUGACAGUUUAAAAUCAAAGUUUUUCCAAUGGCUACAUUUAAAAUACAAUUGGUGGCACAGUUUUACAGAAACGUAUUACAUUAUCUAGUUUUAUAAUAAUGCAGUAUUUUUAAUUGUGCUGCUACUGUCAAGUUUUCAGAGUGGAAUUAUAUAUUACAUGUGUGAUCCUAAUAAUCUUUUGCCCACUUUAUAAACAUCUGCUCACACACAAACAAACACACAUGCUAUAUUUAUAAAUGUAGCAUGUCACAUGACUUUUAUUUUAUGAGAUUGAUAUUCAUGAUUACCUUAUGGUUCUCUUCUGUUUCAGUAUUCACAAUAUACUAUUGGCAAAAAUGGUGAAAAUAUGCAUAAUAUAAACAUGAAUUUUGAUGAAAAUUUCAGUGGCAGGUCUCUUAAAAAGAAAGCUGUCAAAAGACUGUCAACUUAUAAGCUGGAGUUCUUAAACUAAUUAAUAUAACCAUUUAGUUGUAGUGACAAAGUUAUGCAAUCUGAAUGAAAAUAUAACAUAUAUAUAUAUAUUCAGCACAAUAAUCAAGCAUUCCUAAAGCAAAAUUUCUUUUCAAAUGAAAACUUUAUGGAAAGAUUUUUUCCUAUAUGUUUAGUUUUCCUUUUUUCUUUUGUUACUUUGAAAAUUAAGAAAUUGGUAAACAAAUUUUCAAUAAUUCUAAGUAUCCUAGGUGUUUGAAUAGUGGCCUUAUAUAUGAAAAUGUGCUCUUAUACAAAUAUGACUAGGAAAUCUGUAUUUGAUUAUGUACCAAUAUGACAUAUUCGUAUACACGUGAGUGUGUGUUUGUGCAUAUGUGUGCUGCUAUACUCUAUUAUAGAAUAUAUCUAUAGAAUAAUUUUUUCAUCCUGCUGUAUUUAUCAGUGAUUGUAAACAACAUUUCUGCAUAUAGUCAUGAACAGAAAAAGCAGAAAACAACGUGACAUACAUUGAUUCAUUUCUUCAAUUCUUGAAUUAGGAUUUCAUCAGCAGCUAUGGUCAUUUUACUGUCCAUGAACAUUGCUUAUAAAACCCACUAUCAUUAGGUGGUGUACAGUUGCUGAUAAAAAAUGAAUUCAAAGAUUAAAACUUAGCAUGUCUAGAUCUUUUCUGCCUUUCUCUCUACAAUAUUGCAUGCACACAUCUGUUGUUUACAAUCGUGAAAAAAUCUAUAAAUACCUUCCAUAGUAUAACAGAACAAAUAGCAAUGAAAUAAAAUGCUGUUAACGCACCACUAA
This 1740-nucleotide long non-coding RNA is filed under the name Octopus sinensis (East Asian common octopus). RNAcentral describes it as "uncharacterized LOC118765972". The record is from RNAcentral. Lineage: Eukaryota; Metazoa; Mollusca; Cephalopoda; Octopoda; Octopodidae.